UAUGUUUUCUGAGGUCUGGCCAUGCUGAACUACAUUUCAGCUAGUGCCUCUGUACUCUGAAAAAUACCUGGAAAGGACACACCAGAAAGAAGAAGCCACUGAACAGGAAAAGGCCAUGAGAGAUGAGAAGAUGAUCAACGGAAGAGGAUAUAGGAUGAAGAUACACAAGUUCGGGUGGGGAGGAGAUGAAGAAAAAGAAGAGGAUAAUUGGAAGGAAAUAUCUUUCUCUACCCCUGACCAAAUUGACUGGUUUGAGUUUGUUGCCUGACGUAAGCAGCAUCAAUGGGCCCAAGGCUGUGGUACAUAAAGCCCACAAACUAUGUGGAUCACGGUAUUCAUCCAGAUUGGAGAAGAAUAAGGCUGCCAUUUUAGGCCAAAAGGGAGGAGAAUAAGGUGACUAUGAUGUUCAAGAAACUAUUUCUUAUUGUUUCUGAGGCUCAGAUGACUCCAUGAUCUCUGUUAUUUGGGCAGUCCAUGAAAUAAUCUAGUGUCCUUUCAUUGAUUUCCUUCUGCUUAUACUAAUUUAAGUUGGGUUUCUAUUAUGUGCAUUCAAAAGUGUAACUAAACUUUAUCUACGUGGCUCCAUUUCCUACUGUAUGCCUCUAUGCACCUUCUGUUCUACUCACUCUGAACUAUUUAACUGAUAUGGUUUGGCUGUGUCCCCACCCAAAUCUCAUCUUGAAUUGUAGCUUCCAUAAUCCCCAGUUGUUGUAGGGGGGGAAUGUUCAUAAUCAUUAUGUCCAAAGACAGAAACCACAACAAAACAUGAUGAUAUAUUUGACUACAUAAAAUGUUAAAUUUAAAUAUCAAAAACCCAUCAAUGAAUAAAUAAGGAAUAUUUAAAGUUUUGCACAUAAUAACACAUUUAGAGAAAUAACAUAUUUUAUUUUCAAUUGCAUAUAUAUAAUAUGUUAUUUUAUUAUUAUUAUUAUUAUUGAGAUGGAAUCUCACUCUGUCGCCCAGGCUGGAAUGCAGUGGAGCGAUCUCGGCUCACUGCAACCUCUGCCUCCCAGGUUCAAGUGAUUCUCCUUCCUCAGCCUCCUGAGUAGCCAGGAUUACAGGUGCCCGCCACCAUGCCUGGCUAAGUUUUUGGUGUUUUUUAAGUAGAGAUGGGGUUUCACCAUAUUGGCCAGGCUGGUUUCAAACUUCUGACCUCAAGUGAUCUGCCCGCCUUGGCCUCCCAAAGUGCUAGGAUUAAAGGUGUGAGUCACCCACGUGGCUAAUAUGUUAUUUUAGUUGCAUAAAUGUAAUAUAUUUUAGUAGUCUUUUUAGUAUUAAAAUGACUAAUUAUGCAAGUUGAUAAUAGAAAGAUGAAUAUCUGAAUAGAGAAAUAGGCAAAUAACACAAGUAAAAAAUUUUUUAAAUUAAAUAUAAAAAUAACAAACAUUUGUACAUUUUUAAAUUGUACUAGAAAUGGAGGAACAACUACUUAACUGUUUAGUCCCUGGUUUGCCCACCCACUCACACAUCUCAUAGCAUAUCCACAACAUGUUGUGUAUUUCUCUAUUGCUUUUCUCAUUCAUCUCUGUAUUGUGGUUAUUUUACCACCUGUCUCUCUCACUAGACUUUAAUUCCUUUUGGAAAACCCAAUGUUCUGUUUCUCUUUCAUGCAUUAACUCGCAGCAUUUAGUUGGGCUCCAUGAAGGUUUAUGGAAUGAAUGAUUUGGGUGAGAGAGUGUCUUAAAAUGGGCAUGCUCCACUAAAUAAUUUGUCAUUGUCUCUCUAAAGCUGCAAGGUAAAUGUCUUUACUUCCUGUGAUAUUUGUUCCUGUAAUUGAAAAAUCUCUAUUCUUUGUAUUAAUGCCUUAUUUUUCUGAUUUGUC
Molecule: long non-coding RNA, 1822 nt
Filed under: Homo sapiens (human)
Lineage: Eukaryota; Metazoa; Chordata; Mammalia; Primates; Hominidae
Description: HSALNT0047718
Source: RNAcentral